This 111-nucleotide non-coding RNA is filed under the name unclassified sequences. RNAcentral's name for it is "DUF3800-I RNA". It matches the Rfam family "DUF3800-I RNA". Rfam says of the family: Actinobacteria, Firmicutes, Fusobacteria, Proteobacteria (1 example), Tenericutes (2 examples). Terminator (Clostridia) The record is from Rfam by way of RNAcentral.
UAUAGUUGCAGGUAGGAAAUCUACACUGCUUAUCGGUCAAGUCGAGUUAGCGCUUAAGCGAACUGUAAGUUCGCCGACCGCCGAGCCGCCCUUGAGGCGGUUUUUUGUUUU